CCCCUAGAUGUUCUGGGCCGCACGCGCGCUACACUGAACAGUUCAACAAGUCUUAACCUUGGCCGAUAGGUCUGGGUAAUCUUUGAACGCUGUUCGUGAUUGGGAUAGACCUUUGCAAUUAUGGGUCUUCAACGAGGAAUUCCUAGUAAACGCAAGUCAUCAGCUUGCAUUGAUUACGUCCCUGCCCUUUGUACACACCGCCCGUCGCUCCUACCGAUUGAAUGGUCCGGUGAAGCGCUCGGACCGCGGCCUCUUGACGGUUCGCUGUCGAUUGGCUGUGGGAAGUUCGUUAAACCUUAUCAUUUAGAGGAAGGAGAANUCGUANCA
This 327-nucleotide ribosomal RNA is filed under the name uncultured eukaryote. RNAcentral's name for it is "partial 18S ribosomal RNA". It matches the Rfam family "Eukaryotic small subunit ribosomal RNA", at positions 1470 to 1796 of the family's 1831-position model. The record is from RNAcentral.